CCUACGGGUGGCAGCAGUGGGGAAUAUUGGACAAUGGGCGAAAGCCUGAUCCAGCCAUGCCGCGUGUGUUAAGAAGGCCUUCGGGUUGUAAAGCACUUUCAGUGGGGAAGAAAGCCUUGGGGCUAAUACCCUCGAGGAAGGACAUCACCCACAGAAGAAGCACCGGCUAACUCCGUGCCAGCAGCCGCGGUAAUACGGAGGGUGCGAGCGUUAAUCGGAAUUACUGGGCGUAAAGCGCGCGUAGGCGGUCUGAUAAGCCGGUUGUGAAAGCCCCGGGCUCAACCUGGGAACGGCAUCCGGAACUGUCAGGCUAGAGUGCAGGAGAGGAAGGUAGAAUUCCCGGUGUAGCGGUGAAAUGCGUAGAGAUCGGGAGGAAUACCAGUGGCGAAGGCGGCCUUCUGGACUGACACUGACGCUGAGGUGCGAAAGCGUGGGUAGCAAACAGGAUUAGAUACCCCUGUAGUC
This 465-nucleotide ribosomal RNA is filed under the name Vreelandella stevensii. RNAcentral's name for it is "partial 16S ribosomal RNA". It matches the Rfam family "Bacterial small subunit ribosomal RNA", at positions 338 to 795 of the family's 1533-position model. Lineage: Bacteria; Pseudomonadati; Pseudomonadota; Gammaproteobacteria; Oceanospirillales; Halomonadaceae. The record is from RNAcentral.